CCUCCUUUGUUCUGCCGUGGGGAAUAUUGGACAAUGGGGGAAACCCUGAUCCAGCGACGCCGCGUGAGUGAAGAAGUAUUUCGGUACUUAAAGCUCUAUCAGCAGGAAAGAAAAUGACGGUACCUGACUAAGAAUCCCCGGCUAACUACGGUCCAGCAGCCGCGGUAAUACGUAGGGGGCAAGCGUUAUCCGGAUUUACUGGGUGUAAAGGGAGCGUAGACGGCAGCGCAAGUCUGUAGUGAAAUGCCGGGGCCCAACCCCGGAACUGCUCUGGAAACUGUGAAGCUUGAGUGCAGGAGAGGUAAGCGGAAUUCGUGGUGUAGCGGUGAAAUGCGUAGAUAUCAGGAGGAACACCGGCGGCGAAGGCGGCUUACUGGACUGUAACUGACGUUGAGGCUCGAAGGCGUGGGGAGCAAACAGGAUUAGAUACCCGGGUAGUC
This 440-nucleotide ribosomal RNA is filed under the name uncultured bacterium. Its description in RNAcentral is "partial 16S ribosomal RNA". It matches the Rfam family "Bacterial small subunit ribosomal RNA", at positions 338 to 795 of the family's 1533-position model. The record is from RNAcentral.